GCCAGCUUCAGCAGACACAUACUAAUGGAACUAUACCAAGAAGAAUAGCAUGGCGCCUGCGCAAGGAUGACACGCACAUUCGUGAAGCGUUCCAUAUUUUU
RNAcentral lists this small nuclear RNA (101 nucleotides) under Dasypus novemcinctus (nine-banded armadillo). Lineage: Eukaryota; Metazoa; Chordata; Mammalia; Cingulata; Dasypodidae. The record is from RNAcentral.